GUUAGUCCCUCUGAGGGAAGCCAGUUACCAAGUUGUGAGCUGCUCUAUGGAGAGGCCCACGUGGCAGAGAAAUAACGUCUUCUGCAACAGCCAACGGGGAGGGUCUUAGGUCUGCCAACGGCCACAUGACCGAGCUUGGAAGUGAAUCUUCUGAGCCGGCCAACAACCCACGAUUGAAGCCAUCAAGCUACAAAUGAUCUUACAAAUGGAACCUCAAAUGAGCUCAACUCACGGCUUCUACCGAGGACCUGUGGUUCAACCCACUGGUCCCUCGAUUAGCCUAGAAAGCUCCCCUCUGGAGAACACCAAACUGCAGGCCCCUUCUUCGCCCCUAAUCAGCAGGAAGUAGCUGAAACGACUGCCGCACAGUUUCCAACAGUAGUUGGGGUGUCCUGUUUAGAGGCAGGACUGAGAGGAGGUGCCAGCUGGGCUUCCUGGGUCAAGUAGGGACCCCGAAAGCUGUGAAACUCACUCAUUUCCUGCAUCAGGACUUACUUAGUCCUGGAUGAAUAAUGUUGAAGAUAUAUGCUUAAAAUAUUCCUAACACCGGGAUUUGUGCAUGUGUUUUCCUCCCCAAGAAAGCUAUAAACAGUGAAAAUUUUGCUGUAAGUUUCCUUGUGUGCUCUCCCCCCUCUCCCUUCCCCCUCCCCCGAAACUAAAAUAAAAGAAAUAUUAACUGCCCAUUUUCCUGUGACCAGAGGACCUUAUCGAUGCUCCCAAUUUCAAUUCCUUGUAAAUAUACUUUGUAAAGUCCUGUAAGAUCCUGUCUUCUUUGCCAUGCCACUGCAAGGUCAUAAAGUAGAUAAAAUCUAAGUUGCAAAUCCAGUUUUCCUCAAAAUCUAAGACUUGUCACAAAAUAAUUUAAAAACAAAGGCACAAAAUGCCUUUGUUCCUUGCUCCUGUGACAAGCUUCCAGCCUCACACAUCUCCCACCUUAAAGAGUUUAAAAGGCAAUCACCCAAAACCAACAGUGGCUACCUGUUCCGGACCCAUUCCAUGCUGUGGAAGCUUUGUACUUUCACUCAGAUUAAUAAAGCUUAUGGUUUUUUUUCU
Molecule: non-coding RNA, 1053 nt
Organism: Macaca mulatta (Rhesus monkey)
Lineage: Eukaryota; Metazoa; Chordata; Mammalia; Primates; Cercopithecidae
Source: RefSeq, a predicted model, not a curated record